This 519-nucleotide ribosomal RNA is filed under the name Glycera tridactyla. RNAcentral describes it as "partial large subunit ribosomal RNA". It matches the Rfam family "Bacterial large subunit ribosomal RNA", at positions 1833 to 2620 of the family's 2925-position model. Lineage: Eukaryota; Metazoa; Annelida; Polychaeta; Phyllodocida; Glyceridae. The record is from RNAcentral.
ACAAAAUAAUCUAAAAAAAGGUAACUCCUGCCCAGUGAGCUUUUAACGGCCGCAGUACCCUGACUGUGCAAAGGUAGCAUAAUCAUUUGCCUUUUAAUUGAAGGCUAGAAUGAAUGGAUUAACGUGAAUAAAGCUGUCUCUGCUAUACUAAUAAAAACUAGACUGUAGAUGAAAAUAUCUACAUAUAAAUAAAGGACAAAAAGACCCUAUAGAGCUGUAUUUUUUAGGACCAAUAAAAUACCUUAUAUUAUAUUUAUCUUUCUAAAAUUUUGUUGGGGCGACAAAGGAGUAUACAAAUCCUCCUUCUUUACUUAGAUAAAUCUAUCUUCUAUAAUGAUCCUUUUAAGAUCAACAGAAAAAGCUACCUUAGGGAUAACAGACUAAUCCUUUUAGAGAGUUCAUAUUGACAAAAGGGAUUGGCACCUCGAUGUUGGCUUAAGAUAUCCUUUAGGUGCAGAAGCCUAAAAAGGUUGGUUUGUUCAACCAUUAAAAUCUUACGUGAUCUGAGUUCAGACCGGA